Molecule: ribosomal RNA, 301 nt
Filed under: uncultured bacterium
Lineage: Bacteria
Description: partial 16S ribosomal RNA
Rfam family: Bacterial small subunit ribosomal RNA
Source: RNAcentral
CAGUCGCCGCGGGAAUACGUAGGGUGCAAGCGUUGUCCGGAAUUAUUGGGCGUAAAGAGCUCGUAGGCGGUUUGUCGCGUCUGCUGUGAAAUCUGGGGGCUCAACUCCCAGCCUGCAGUGGGUACGGGCAGACUAGAGUGCGGUAGGGGAGAUUGGAAUUCCUGGUGUAGCGGUGGAAUGCGCAGAUAUCAGGAGGAACACCGAUGGCGAAGGCAGAUCUCUGGGCCGUAACUGACGCUGAGGAGCGAAAGCAUGGGGAGCGAACAGGAUUAGAUACCCCUGUAGUCCCUGUCUCUUAUAC